UGCCCCUCACUUGCCAAUACGUCUAGAUCAGCCAGGGCGUCGGCAUGUGUAGCGUAUUAUGUUGGGCUCUCUCGAGAUAAGGAUACGAUGUCCCUUUAUCGGUUGGUUUCCUGUGUGUGCGGCCCGUUUGGUUUUUUUGUUACUUUCGCAUCGUUCGGUGCAUUCUGGGGGCUGUGUUGGCUUUUGGUGGCUUGCUUGGCCUUUUGGCUUUGCUUGUUGCUACUUGUCGGGCUGCUUUCGGGAAUGUCGACCGUGGAGGUGCAUGAGUGGUGUUUGGUUUGUUACGUGUGGAUGGCUGUUUGCUUGUGCAACAACGUUCACGCUGCAUACCUCUUCAGUUUUGCGGCAAGGCUUGGUUUGGCUUGUGCAUAUUGUGGGUUUCCUGUGUUGCAUACCUAGUUGAUGGAAAAGUGUGGGUUUUACGAUUUUCAUUUUCGUCUUGCGUCGUUCUUUUGGCGUGGGAUGAACAAUGAAGCGAUCUUUAUGAUCCAUCGUGCUGUUGCGUUUGCAACAAUGAUGUGGCCUAUGAAGCAUCGUUUGGUCUCUUGUAUACGGAAGCUCAUUUGGGCUUGGGUCUUUAUAAGAUCUUCGUUACGCCCUUGUUAAGCGUUCUCGCUUCUCCUAAACGAUUG
Molecule: unclassified non-coding RNA, 632 nt
Filed under: Centaurea ornata
Lineage: Eukaryota; Viridiplantae; Streptophyta; Magnoliopsida; Asterales; Asteraceae
Description: partial external transcribed spacer
Source: RNAcentral